GGGCCGGUGGCGAAAUGGCUUAACGCAGGAGGCUUUUAACCUCCCAUCGCGGGUUCGAUUCCUGCUCGGCCCA
RNAcentral lists this transfer RNA (73 nucleotides) under Halogranum tailed virus 1. RNAcentral's name for it is "Halovirus HGTV-1 tRNA". It matches the Rfam family "tRNA". From Rfam's summary of the family: Transfer RNA (tRNA) molecules are approximately 80 nucleotides in length. Their secondary structure includes four short double-helical elements and three loops (D, anti-codon, and T loops). The record is from Rfam by way of RNAcentral. Lineage: Duplodnaviria; Heunggongvirae; Uroviricota; Caudoviricetes; Thumleimavirales; Halomagnusviridae.